AGAGCGAACGCUGGCGGCAGGCCUAACACAUGCAAGUCGAGCGCCCGUAGCAAUACGGGAGCGGCAGACGGGAUAGUAACACGUGGGAACGCGCCCUUCGGUUCGGAAUAACUCAGGGAAACUUGAGCUAAUACCGAAUACGCCCUUACGGGGAAAGAUUUAUUGUCGAAGGAACGGCCCGCGUCCGAUUAGCUAGUUGGUGAGGUAAUGGCUCACCAAGGCUACGAUCGGUAGCUGGUCUGAGAGGAUGACCAGCAUCACUGGGACUGAGACACGGCCCAGACUCCUACGGGAGGCAGCAGUGGGGAAUAUUGGACAAUGGGCGAAAGCCUGAUCCAGCCAUGCCGCGUGGAUGAUGAAGGCCUUAGGGUUGUAAAGUCCUUUUAACGGGGAAGAUAAUGACGGUACCCGUAGAAUAAGCCCGGCUAACUUCGCGCCAGCACGCCGC
RNAcentral lists this ribosomal RNA (448 nucleotides) under uncultured bacterium. Its description in RNAcentral is "SSU rRNA". It matches the Rfam family "Bacterial small subunit ribosomal RNA", at positions 26 to 518 of the family's 1533-position model. The record is from RNAcentral.